Molecule: long non-coding RNA, 417 nt
Filed under: Malus domestica (apple)
Lineage: Eukaryota; Viridiplantae; Streptophyta; Magnoliopsida; Rosales; Rosaceae
Description: long non-coding RNA (MDOM_LNC005134)
Source: RNAcentral
CUUUCCUUCCGGGAGACGACCUCGUCAGCGUCCUCGACACCUUGGCUGGCUUCUCCUUUGGCUUCGGCUUCGGAGCAGCCGCCUUGGGCUUGGCAGCAGCAGCUUUUGGCUUGGCGGCCGCGGGUUUAGGCUUGGCGGCGGGUUUAGGCUUGGCAGCAGGCUUAGACUUAACCGGAGCAGCCGCUUUGGGCUUCGGAGCAGCAGCUUUUGGCUUAGCUGCGGGCUUUGCCUUCGGUUUCGCCUUAGGCUUGGCGGCAGCAGCCUUUGGCUUGGCCGGAGCUUUGGAAGCUGGCUUUUUCCCUCCCUUAGGCUUCGCAGCAGGAGCUUUUGCCUUGGGCUUAGCGGCCGGCUUCUUCUUCACCGGAGAAGCAGGCUUCGGCGCCGAGGACCUCACAGGCGGGAUCUUGUAGGAGUUUU